RNAcentral lists this transfer RNA (65 nucleotides) under Germainiellus salebrosus. RNAcentral's name for it is "transfer RNA-Leu". It matches the Rfam family "tRNA". Rfam says of the family: Transfer RNA (tRNA) molecules are approximately 80 nucleotides in length. Their secondary structure includes four short double-helical elements and three loops (D, anti-codon, and T loops). Further hydrogen bonds mediate the characteristic L-shaped molecular structure. tRNAs have two regions of fundamental functional importance: the anti-codon, which is responsible for specific mRNA codon recognition, and the 3' end, to which the tRNAs corresponding amino acid is attached (by aminoacyl-tRNA synthetases). tRNAs cope with the degeneracy of the genetic code in two manners: having more than one tRNA (with a specific anti-codon) for a particular amino acid; and 'wobble' base-pairing, i.e. permitting non-standard base-pairing at the 3rd anti-codon position. Lineage: Eukaryota; Metazoa; Arthropoda; Insecta; Coleoptera; Curculionidae. The record is from RNAcentral.
GUUGUUUUGGCAGAGUAGUGCAAUAGAUUUAGAAUCUUUAUAUGUAAAUUAAUUUACAAAUAAUA